GACGAACGCUAGCGGCGUGCUUAACACAUGCAAGUCGAACGGAAAGGCCCUGCUUUUGUGGGGUGCUCGAGUGGCGAACGGGUGAGUAACACGUGAGUAACCUGCCCUUGACUUUGGGAUAACUUCAGGAAACUGGGGCUAAUACCGGAUAGGAGCUCCUGCUGCAUGGUGGGGGUUGGAAAGUUUCGGCGGUUGGGGAUGGGCUCGCGGCUUAUCAGCUUGUUGGUGGGGUAGUGGGUUACCAAGGCUUUGACGGGUAGCCGGCCGGGGAGGGUGACCGGCCAAAGUGGGUACGGGAGGCAGCCGAGGCGCAUAGGGGAGGCAGGGGGGGGGAAUGGUCCAGAAGGGGCGGGAGCCGGAUGAAGGCCCCCGGGGUGCGAAAUGCCGUUGUUCGGGUUGAAAACCGUUUGGCCAUGACACGGGGCGGAUGACGGGAUAGGAGGAAAAAAAACCGGGUAACAACGUG
This 466-nucleotide ribosomal RNA is filed under the name uncultured bacterium. Its description in RNAcentral is "partial 16S ribosomal RNA". It matches the Rfam family "Bacterial small subunit ribosomal RNA", at positions 28 to 507 of the family's 1533-position model. The record is from RNAcentral.